This 1446-nucleotide ribosomal RNA is filed under the name uncultured Synechococcus sp. RNAcentral's name for it is "bacterial SSU rRNA". It matches the Rfam family "Bacterial small subunit ribosomal RNA". Lineage: Bacteria; Bacillati; Cyanobacteriota; Cyanophyceae; Synechococcales; Synechococcaceae. The record is from RNAcentral.
GCGGCGUGCUUAACACAUGCAAGUCGAACGAACCUUCGGGUUAGUGGCGGACGGGUGAGUAACGCGUGAGAAUCUGCCCUCAGGAGGGGGAUAACGGUUGGAAACGACCGCUAAUACCCCAUAUGCCGCGAGGUGAAAUGAAUUUCGCCUGAGGAUGAGCUCGCGUCUGAUUAGUUAGUUGGUGGGGUAAAGGCCUACCAAGACAUCGAUCAGUAGCUGGUCUGAGAGGAUGAUCAGCCACACUGGGACUGAGACACGGCCCAGACUCCUACGGGAGGCAGCAGUGGGGAAUUUUCCGCAAUGGGCGAAAGCCUGACGGAGCAACGCCGCGUGAGGGAUGAAGGCCUCUGGGCUGUAAACCUCUUUUAUCAAGGAAGAAGAUCUGACGGUACUUGAUGAAUAAGCCACGGCUAAUUCCGUGCCAGCAGCCGCGGUAAUACGGGAGUGGCAAGCGUUAUCCGGAAUUAUUGGGCGUAAAGCGUCCGCAGGCGGUCUGUCAAGUCUGCUGUUAAAGCGUGGAGCUUAACUCCAUUUCGGCAGUGGAAACUGACAGACUAGAGUGUGGUAGGGGCAGAGGGAAUUCCCGGUGUAGCGGUGAAAUGCGUAGAUAUCGGGAAGAACACCAGUGGCGAAGGCGCUCUGCUGGGCCAUAACUGACGCUCAUGGACGAAAGCCAGGGGAGCGAAAGGGAUUAGAUACCCCUGUAGUCCUGGCCGUAAACGAUGAACACUAGGUGUCGGGGGAAUCGACCCCCUCGGUGUCGUAGCCAACGCGUUAAGUGUUCCGCCUGGGGAGUACGCACGCAAGUGUGAAACUCAAAGGAAUUGACGGGGGCCCGCACAAGCGGUGGAGUAUGUGGUUUAAUUCGAUGCAACGCGAAGAACCUUACCAGGGUUUGACAUCCUGCGAAUCUCUUGGAAACGAGAGAGUGCCUUCGGGAACGCAGUGACAGGUGGUGCAUGGCUGUCGUCAGCUCGUGUCGUGAGAUGUUGGGUUAAGUCCCGCGACGAGCGCAACCCACGUCGUUAGUUGCCAGCAUUGAGUUGGGCACUCUAGCGAGACCGCCGGUGAUAAACCGGAGGAAGGUGUGGAUGACGUCAAGUCAUCAUGCCCCUUACAUCCUGGGCUACACACGUACUACAAUGCUACGGACAAAGGGCAGCAAACUCGCGAGAGCUAGCAAAUCCCAUAAACCGUGGCUCAGUUCAGAUCGUAGGCUGCAACUCGCCUACGUGAAGGAGGAAUCGCUAGUAAUCGCAGGUCAGCAUACUGCGGUGAAUACGUUCCCGGGCCUUGUACACACCGCCCGUCACACCAUGGAAGUUGGCCACGCCCGAAGCCGUUACUCCAACCCUUGUGGAGGAGGACGUCGAAGGUGGGGCUGAUGACUGGGGUGAAGUCGUAACAAGGUAGCCGUACCGGAAGGUGCGGCUGGAUCACCUCCUA